GAUGAAGAACGUAGCGAAAUGCGAUAAGUAAUGUGAAUUGCAGAAUUCAGUGAAUCAUCGAAUCUUUGAACGCAUCUUGCGCUCCUUGGUAUUCCUUGGAGCAUGCCUGUUUGAGUAUCAUGAGCAAAUCUCAAAGUCAAUUCCUUUUGUUGAUUCAAUUGGUUUUGCUUUGGACUUGGAGGCCUUGCAGAUUUCACAGUCUGCUCCUCUUAAAUGCAUUAGCUGGAUCUCAGUAAUUAUGCUUGGUUCCACUCGGCGUGAUAAGUAUCCCUCGCUGAGGACACUGUUAAAAAGGUGGCAAGGAAAAUACUGAUUGAACCGCUUCUAACGGUCUAUUAAGUUAGACAAUUACCCUUAAGUUUGAUCUCAAAUCAGGUAGGACUACCCGCUGAACUUAAGCAUAUCAAUAAGCGGAGGA
RNAcentral lists this unclassified non-coding RNA (418 nucleotides) under soil metagenome. Its description in RNAcentral is "partial contains 5.8S ribosomal RNA, internal transcribed spacer 2, and large subunit ribosomal RNA". The stretch from base 1 to 120 matches the Rfam family "5.8S ribosomal RNA", at positions 35 to 154 of the family's 154-position model. The record is from RNAcentral.